UGGGACAAAGGGCUGAGAGACCGCGAGGGUAAGGAAAUCCCAGAAAUCAGUUCUCAGUUCGGAUCGCAGUCUGCAACUCGACUGCGUGAAGCUGGAAUCGCUAGUUAUCGCGGAUCAGCAUGCCGCGGUGAAUACGUUCCCGGGCCUUGUACACACCGCCCGUCACGGCACGAGAGUUUGUAACACCCGAAGUCGGUGAGGUAACCUUUUAGGAGCCAGCCGCCGAAGUGAC
RNAcentral lists this ribosomal RNA (232 nucleotides) under Bacillus amyloliquefaciens. Its description in RNAcentral is "partial 16S ribosomal RNA". It matches the Rfam family "Bacterial small subunit ribosomal RNA", at positions 1235 to 1466 of the family's 1533-position model. Lineage: Bacteria; Bacillati; Bacillota; Bacilli; Caryophanales; Bacillaceae. The record is from RNAcentral.